GGGCGAAGCCUGACGGAGCACGCCGCGUGAGUGAUGAAGGUCUUCGGAUCGUAAAACUCUGUUAUCAGGGAAGAACAAAUGUGUAAGUAACUGUGCACAUCUUGACGGUACCUGAUCAGAAAGCCACGGCUAACUACGUGCCAGCAGCCGCGGUAAUACGUAGGUGGCAAGCGUUAUCCGGAAUUAUUGGGCGUAAAGCGCRCGUAGGCGGUUUUUUAAGUCUGAUGUGAAAGCCCACGGCUCAACCGUGGAGGGUCAUUGGAAACUGGAAAACUUGAGUGCAGAAGAGGAAAGUGGAAUUCCAUGUGUAGCGGUGAAAUGCGCAGAGAUAUGGAGGAACACCAGUGGCGAAGGCGACUUUCUGGUCUGUAACUGACGCUGAUGUGCGAAAGCGUGGGGAUCAAACAGGAUUAGAUACCCUGGUAGUCCACGCCGUAAACGAUGAGUGCUAAGUGUUAGGGGGUUUCCGCCCCUUAGUGCUGCAGCUAACGCAUUAAGCACUCCGCCUGGGGAGUACGACCGCAAGGUUGAAACUCAAAGGAAUUGACGGCGGGCGGGGGCGGCGGGACGGGCGCGGGGGGGGGCSSGGGSRAA
RNAcentral lists this ribosomal RNA (594 nucleotides) under Staphylococcus pasteuri. Its description in RNAcentral is "bacterial SSU rRNA". Lineage: Bacteria; Bacillati; Bacillota; Bacilli; Caryophanales; Staphylococcaceae. The record is from RNAcentral.